RNAcentral lists this ribosomal RNA (2003 nucleotides) under Clostridioides difficile. RNAcentral describes it as "partial 23S ribosomal RNA". It matches the Rfam family "Bacterial large subunit ribosomal RNA", at positions 683 to 2703 of the family's 2925-position model. The record is from RNAcentral. Lineage: Bacteria; Bacillati; Bacillota; Clostridia; Peptostreptococcales; Peptostreptococcaceae.
UUUAACUGAGCGUUCAGUUACUUGACGUAGACCCGAAACCGGGCGACCUACCCAUGAGCAGGAUGAAGCGAAAGUAAAAUUUCGUGGAGGUCCGAACCCACGAGCGUUGAAAAGCUCGGGGAUGACUUGUGGGUAGCGGUGAAAUUCCAAUCGAGCCCGGAGAUAGCUGGUUCUCCCCGAAAUAGCUUUAGGGCUAGCCUCAAGGUGAGAGAUACGGAGGUAGAGCACUGAAUGUCCUAGGGGGUAUUGCACCUACCGAAGACUAUCAAACUCCGAAUGCCGUCAUCUUAUACUUGGGAGUCAGACUGUGGGUGAUAAGAUUCAUAGUCGAAAGGGCAACAGCCCAGAUCGUCAGCUAAGGUCCCUAAAUGUAAGUUAAGUGGUAAAGGAUGUGGGAUUGCACAGACAACCAGGAUGUUGGCUUAGAAGCAGCCACUCAUUCAAAGAGUGCGUAAUAGCUCACUGGUCGAGUGAUCCUGCGCCGAAGAUUUCCGGGGCUAAAACUUACUACCGAAGCUACGGCAUCAGUAAUGAUGGGUAGGGGAGCUUCCCAUACGGGUUGAAGCAUGACCGUAAGGACAUGUGGACAGUAUGGGAGUGAGAAUGUUGGCAUGAGUAGCGAGAUGUGGGUGAGAAUCCCACAGGCCGUAAACCCAAGGUUUCCAGGGGAAGGUUCGUCCGCCCUGGGUUAGUCGGGACCUAAGCUGAGGCCGAAAGGCGUAGGUGAUGGACAACAGGUUGAUAUUCCUGUACUACCGAUAACCGUUUGAGAGAUGGGAUGACACAGUAGGAUAAGCUAAGCACACUGUUGGUUAUGUGUGCCCAAGCAUUGAGGCAGUCAAAGUAGGCAAAUCCGCUUUGAUAAUGCUGGGAUGUGAUGGGGAGCGAAAUUUAGUAGCGAAGUAGCUGAUUUCACACUGUCAAGAAAAGUCUCUAUCGAGGUUAAAGGUACCCGUACCGCAAACCGACACAGGUGGGUGAGGAGAGUAUCCUAAGGCCAGCGAGAGAACUGUUGUUAAGGAACUCGGCAAAAUGACCCCGUAACUUAGGGAUAAGGGGUGCCACCAUCAGGUGGCCGCAGAGAAUAGGCCCAAGCGACUGUUUACCAAAAACAUAGGUUUCUGCUAAGUCGCAAGACGAUGUAUAGGAGCUGACGCCUGCCCGGUGCUGGAAGGUUAAGGGGAUCUGUUAGAGCAAUCGAAGCAGUGAACUUAAGCCCCAGUAAACGGCGGCCGUAACUAUAACGGUCCUAAGGUAGCGAAAUUCCUUGUCGGGUAAGUUCCGACCCGCACGAAAGGCGUAACGAUUUGGGCACUGUCUCAACAACAGACUCGGUGAAAUUGUAAUUCCGGUGAAGAUGCCGGAUACCUGCGACAGGACGGAAAGACCCCAUGGAGCUUUACUGUAGCUUGACAUUGGGUCUUGGUACUACAUGUACAGGAUAGGUGGGAGGCUUUGAAACCAGGACGCCAGUUUUGGCGGAGCCAUCCUUGGGAUACCACCCUUGUAGUACUGGGACUCUAACCAUAGGCCAUGAAUCUGGUCUUGGGACACUGUCAGGUGGGCAGUUUGACUGGGGCGGUCGCCUCCCAAAAGGUAACGGAGGCGCUCAAAGGUUCUCUCAGUACGGUCGGAAAUCGUACGUAGAGUGUAAAGGCAAAAGAGAGCUUGAUUGCAAGACAUACAGGUCGAGCAAGGAUGAAAAUCGGACUUAGUGAUCCGGUGGUUCUGCGUGGAAGGGCCAUCGCUCAACGGAUAAAAGCUACCCUGGGGAUAACAGGCUUAUCUCCCCCAAGAGUCCACAUCGACGGGGAGGUUUGGCACCUCGAUGUCGGCUCAUCACAUCCUGGGGCUGUAGUAGGUCCCAAGGGUUGGGCUGUUCGCCCAUUAAAGUGGUACGCGAGCUGGGUUCAGAACGUCGUGAGACAGUUCGGUCCCUAUCCGUCGCAGGCGUAGGAAAUUUGAGAAGACCUGUCCUUAGUACGAGAGGACCGGGAUGGACG